GUCGGAUAAAAAUAGCGAAAGCACAGAUCAUGCUGUAAUGCAUCGAAUAAAACAAAGGAGAAACAUGACCACUGCAUGUACAUCGUGGAAUGAUGGGACAUCUUACCUACUACAUCCUCCGCUGUCUCCCAGUGCAUCGAUCGCUGAACAGCAAGCUUCCAGCGAAUAAACCUUGCAUCUCGUUCUACAAUAAAUAAAGCCUAGCAAUCAGCACUGUUGAAAAAUUAGGCUCUCCAGUCUGCCUAAUACAACAAGGCCAAACUUCCUGUGUUAUGAUACUUGCCUACACUGAUUCCGAGAAGGUCUGUCUGUAGCUGCAUUAACAGCUGAUUGGCCGUCAUCCCUCCAUC
Magallana angulata is the source of this 350-nucleotide long non-coding RNA. RefSeq lists it as uncharacterized. Lineage: Eukaryota; Metazoa; Mollusca; Bivalvia; Ostreida; Ostreidae. The transcript is spliced from 3 exons. The record is from RefSeq and is a predicted model, not a curated record.